AGUGGGACGCCCAUACCACUCAUGCUCUCUCACAAAUAGUAAAAGGAGCUCUCACUACAAAAAGGAGAUCUCCUCUCUCCCUCAAAUAAACUUUUGCAUACACACAUUCUACAAAUUAAGAAAUUUUAUCUUCUCUCCUUCCCAACAACUCUCAUUUUUCAGCAAAGAAACACCAACCCUCUUCUGCAACACUUCUGUUAGUUCCCUCCGAUCCACACUUCCAGACAUACUUCAUAGCCACAACGCCAACCCACGAGCUACCACCAUUGUUUUCCAUGACUGCACCAUUCUCCAUCCUACAAACCCUCUACAACACCUCAAUAGUGAUAACCUCUCACUCCUCCCCCAGCCUCCAUUAAGGCCAUCGCUGAGCAACUCUGAACAGCCACAACCCCAACCUUGCAUAAAACCACCAUCAAACAACAAAAUCCAUUCAUCCCACACCGAAUCACAGCCCAACAACAUUAUUGAAACUCAACACUCACAACUUCUUCACCUUCUCUACUAACUGCUCAACAUCACCAUGUAAACACAUAAGCUCCUCCACCGACCAACUCAUAAUCGCCAUCACCUAAACCUCAAACACCUUACAAACCUCAUGAUAACUCAUCCACCAACACCAUUGUGAUCUACCACAAACCUUCACAAAUCAUACACGAUAUACCAAUCAUCCAUAUAUCACACCACUUAAUUCGUGUUUCAACCAAACCUCCCAUACUUCAGUUACCGACAAACAACCUCAACAAGAUUUCAAUCAUCAACUACAUCACUAACCACAUAACAACCUCCUUUUCCUCCACCCAAAUGCCAUUGUACCACCCUUCAAACCACCAACCUUCGAACCACACAUAUCUCAGUUUCCUUUUCCCAACCAUAAAGCUACGUCCAAUCAUCUCCUUUUUUCGGCAAAGCAAAUAACAACAUCAUCAAACGCGGAGCAAAUUGAAGUUGUCGAAAACAUCCACUACAACCGCCGUAUGCGUACCAUCUUCCCUUUAACUGUUGUUACAACUUAUUUGCAGCCUGUGGAAGAUGAUAUAUGUUAUUGCUGAUGCAGUUUUCUCUUCGUUUUUGAAACGGGCAAAGAGACGUUAUGUUACUUUGCGAAUGCCAUUGACCGAGAAAAUGAUUUUUUGUUUUUCAAAUGGCUGAUGUCUGAAUGAAAGAGGUAGCCUUCACCAAUUUUUUUUUAUCUCUUUUAGUGUUUAAUUAAUUAAUUAAUUAAUGUUUUUUAUUCUAUUUAUUUUCUUCAUUUCAAGUUUUUAUUGUGAUGUAACAUAUGUUAUUUAUUUGUGAAUUUUAUUUUUAUGUA
This 1312-nucleotide long non-coding RNA is filed under the name Lathyrus oleraceus (garden pea). RNAcentral's name for it is "Pisum sativum (pea) long non-coding RNA (PSAT_LNC028772)". The record is from RNAcentral. Lineage: Eukaryota; Viridiplantae; Streptophyta; Magnoliopsida; Fabales; Fabaceae.